Molecule: transfer RNA, 88 nt
Filed under: Microbacterium sp. PRC9
Lineage: Bacteria; Bacillati; Actinomycetota; Actinomycetes; Micrococcales; Microbacteriaceae
Description: tRNA-Leu
Source: RNAcentral
GGGCUUCCGCGGAAGACCGACUCAGAGUGCACGGCAGGGAUCGGCGCGGAUCCCUCGAGGCGAGGUUCAAAUCCCUCCGUCUCCGCCA